AAGCCAGGAUAAUGUAGUCUUAAUCGUUCUGAAAUACGAAAAAUGUUGUGGAAAUCGCGUGAAAUAAUCAGAGGAAUCGUUUGAAAUCAUCGUAGUAAUCGCGCGAAAAUCACGUGAAAUAAUCAGAGGAAUCGUUUGAAAUCAUCGUAGUAAUCGCGCGAAAAUCACGUGAAAUAAUCAGAGGAAUCGUUUGAAAUCAUCGUAGUAAUCGCGCGAAAAUCACGUGAAAUAAUCAGAGGAAUCGUUUGAAAUCAUCGUAGUAAUCGCGCGAAAAUCACGUGAAAUAAUCAGAGGAAUCGUUUGAAAUCAUCGUAGUAAUCGCGCGAAAAUCACGUGAAAUAAUCAGAGGAAUCGUUUGAAAUCAUCGUAGUAAUCGCGCGAAAAUCACGUGAAAUAAUCAGAGGAAUCGUUUGAAAUCAUCGUAGUAAUCGCGCGAAAAUCGCGUGAAAUAAUCAGAGGAAUCGUUUGAAAUCAUCGUAGUAAUCGCGCGAAAAUCGCGUGAAAUAAUCAGAGGAAUCGUUUGAAAUCAUCGUAGUAAUCGCGCGAAAAUCGCGUGAAAUAAUCAGAGGAAUCGUUUGAAAUCAUCGUAGUAAUCGCGCGAAAAUCGCGUGAAAUACUAUGGUAGACGGUUUGAGUAAAUUAAUGGAGUAUUUUAAU
This is a non-coding RNA of Staphylococcus aureus, 657 nucleotides long. The record is from Rfam. NCBI's taxonomy places the organism in Bacteria, Bacillati, Bacillota, Bacilli, Caryophanales, Staphylococcaceae.